Molecule: ribosomal RNA, 422 nt
Filed under: uncultured bacterium
Lineage: Bacteria
Description: bacterial SSU rRNA
Rfam family: Bacterial small subunit ribosomal RNA
Source: RNAcentral
UGAGGAAUAUUGGUCAAUGGGCGCAAGCCUGAACCAGCCAUGCCGCGUGCAGGAAGACGGUCCUAUGGUGUGUAAACUGCUUUUGUACGGGAAGAAACACUCCUACGUGUAGGAGCUUGACGGUACCGUAAGAAUAAGGAUCAGCUAACUCCGUGCCAGCAGCCGCGGUAAUACGGAGGAUCCAAGCGUUAUCCGGAAUCAUUGGGUUUAAAGGGUCCGUAGGCGGUUUAGUAAGUCAGUGGUGAAAGCCCAUCGCUCAACGAUGGAACGGCCAUUGAUACUGCUAGACUUGAAUUAUUAGGAAGUAACUAGAAUAUGUAGUGUAGCGGUGAAAUGCUUAGAUAUUACAUGGAAUACCAAUUGCGAAGGCAGGUUACUACUAACGGAUUGACGCUGAUGGACGAAAGCGUGGGGAGCGAACA